Molecule: ribosomal RNA, 650 nt
Filed under: uncultured bacterium
Lineage: Bacteria
Description: bacterial SSU rRNA
Rfam family: Bacterial small subunit ribosomal RNA
Source: RNAcentral
AGAGUUUGAUCAUGGCUCAGAUUGAACGCUGGCGGCAGGCCUAACACAUGCAAGUCGAACGGUAGCAGGAUGUGCUUGCACAUCGCUGACGAGUGGCGGACGGGUGAGUAAUGCUUGGGAACUUGCCUUUGCGAGGGGGAUAACAGUUGGAAACGACUGCUAAUACCGCAUAAUGUCUACGGACCAAACGGGGCUUAGGCUCCGGCGCAAAGAGAGGCCCAAGUGAGAUUAGCUAGUUGGUGGGGUAAAGGCUCACCAAGGCAACGAUCUCUAGCUGUUCUGAGAGGAAGAUCAGCCACACUGGGACUGAGACACGGCCCAGACUCCUACGGGAGGCAGCAGUGGGGAAUAUUGCACAAUGGGGGAAACCCUGAUGCAGCCAUGCCGCGUGUGUGAAGAAGGCCUUCGGGUUGUAAAGCACUUUCAGUUGUGAGGAAAAGUUAGUAGUUAAUACCUGCUAGCCGUGACGUUAACAACAGAAGAAGCACCGGCUAACUCCGUGCCAGCAGCCGCGGUAAUACGGAGGGUGCGAGCGUUAAUCGGAAUUACUGGGCGUAAAGCGCACGCAGGCGGUUUGUUAAGCUAGAUGUGAAAGCCCCGGGCUCAACCUGGGGAUGGUCAUUUAGAACUGGCAGACUAGAGUCUUGGAG